This is a long non-coding RNA of Sycon ciliatum, 326 nucleotides long. RefSeq lists it as uncharacterized. NCBI's taxonomy places the organism in Eukaryota, Metazoa, Porifera, Calcarea, Leucosolenida, Sycettidae. The transcript is spliced from 4 exons. The record is from RefSeq and is a predicted model, not a curated record.
AUGAGGAUGGUCAUUAUCAUUUUCUGAGCUGAGAACGGGCAGAAAGCUGCACAAGGACAUGAGGAUGUUCAGUCUUUUUUUGAGCUGCGAACGGGCAGAAAGCUACACAAGGAGAUGAGGAUGUUCAUAGUCAUUUUUUGAGCUGCGAACGGGCAGAAAGGACUUGUGGAAUCAGCUACCGACCACGAUGGUGAUGCGAUAGCCCGUGACAAGAGGCACUCAGUGACACACAGAGUACCGCGGCAGUAACUGGCAUUGUGCCCAUCAAUAAAAUAUAUCGUAAAAAUAAAAUGAAAUUAUGACUUCUGGUGUGCGAGUGCUUGUCA